RNAcentral lists this ribosomal RNA (230 nucleotides) under uncultured bacterium. Its description in RNAcentral is "partial 16S ribosomal RNA". It matches the Rfam family "Bacterial small subunit ribosomal RNA", at positions 562 to 791 of the family's 1533-position model. The record is from RNAcentral.
AAAGCGUGCGCAGGCGGUUAUACAAGACAGGCGUGAAAUCCCCGGGCUUAACCUGGGAACUGCAUUUGUGACUGUAUAGCUGGAGUGCGGCAGAGGGGGAUGGAAUUCCGCGUGUAGCAGUGAAAUGCGUAGAUAUGCGGAGGAACACCGAUGGCGAAGGCAAUCCCCUGGGCCUGCACUGACGCUCAUGCACGAAAGCGUGGGGAGCAAACAGGAUUAGAUACCCGAGU